GGUUGUGGCUCAGUGGCAGAGUGCUCACCCUGCAUGUGCGAGGCCCUAGGUUCGAUCCUCAGCACUACCA
Molecule: transfer RNA, 70 nt
Filed under: Marmota monax (woodchuck)
Lineage: Eukaryota; Metazoa; Chordata; Mammalia; Rodentia; Sciuridae
Description: tRNA.Ala
Source: RNAcentral